This 468-nucleotide ribosomal RNA is filed under the name uncultured bacterium. RNAcentral's name for it is "partial 16S ribosomal RNA". It matches the Rfam family "Bacterial small subunit ribosomal RNA", at positions 28 to 507 of the family's 1533-position model. The record is from RNAcentral.
GACGAACGCUGGCGGCGUGCUUAACACAUGCAAGUCGAACGGAAAGGCCCUGCUUUUGUGGGGUACUCGAGUGGCGAACGGAUGAGUAACACGUGAGUAACCUGCCCUUGACUUUGGGAUAACUUCCGGAAACUGGGGCUAAUACCUGAUAGGAGCUCCUGCUGCACGGCGGGGGUUGGAAAGUUUCGGCGGUUGGGAAUGGUCUCGCGGCUUAUCAGCUUGUUGGUGGGGUAGUGGAGUACCAAGGCUUUGAAGGGUAGCCGGACUGAGAGGGUGACAGGCCACAUUGGGACUGAGAUACGGCCCAGACUCCUACGGGAGGCAUCAGUGGGGAAUAUUGCGCGAUGGGCGGAAGCCUGAUGCAGCAACGCCGCGUGCGGGAUGACGGCCUUCGGGUUGGAAACCGCUUUCGCCUGUGACGAAGCGUGAGUGACGGUAAUGGGUAAAGAAGCACCGGCUAACUACGUG